UAUACCGUGAAACUGCGAAUGGCUCAUUAAAUCAGUUAUCGUUUAUUUGAUAGUACCUUACUACUUGGAUACCCGUGGUAAUUCUAGAGCUAAUACAUGCUAAAAACCCCGACUUCGGGAGGGGUGUGUUUAUUAGAUAAAAAACCAACGCCCUUCGGGGCUCCUUGGUGAUUCAUGAUAACCUCUCAGAUCGCACGGCCUUGCGCCGGCGACGGUUCAUUCAAAUUUCUGCCCUAUCAACUUUCGAUGGUAAGGUAUUGGCUUACCAUGGUUUCAACGGGUAACGGGGAAUUAGGGUUCGAUUCCGGAGAGUGAGCCUGAGAAACGGCUCACACAUCCAAGGAAGGCAGCAGGCGCGCAAAUUACCCAAUCCCGACACGGGGAGGUAGUGACAAUAAAUACUGAUACAGGGCUCUUUUGGGUCUUGUAAUUGGAAUGAGUACAAUUUAAACCUCUUAACGAGGAACAAUUGGAGGGCAAGUCUGGUGCCAGCAGCCGCGGUAAUUCCAGCUCCAAUAGCGUAUAUUAAAGUUGUUGCAGUUAAAAAGCUCGUAGUUGAAUCUUUGGCCUGGCUGGCGGGUCCGCCUCACCGCGUGCACUUGUCCGGCCGGGCCUUCUCUUCUGGAGAACCGCAUGCCCUUCACUGGGCGUGUUGGGGACCAGGACUUUUACUUUGAAAAAAUUAGAGUGUUCAAAGCAGGCCUUUGCUCGAAUACGUUAGCAUGGAAUAAUAGAAUAGGACGUGCGGUCCUAUUUUGUUGGUUUCUAGGACCGCCGUAAUGAUUAAUAGGGACAGUCGGGGGCAUCAGUAUUCAAUUGUCAGAGGUGAAAUUCUUGGAUUUAUUGAAGACUAACUACUGCGAAAGCAUUUGCCAAGGAUGUUUUCAUUAAUCAGUGAACGAAAGUUAGGGGAUCGAAGACGAUCAGAUACCGUCGUAGUCUUAACCAUAAACUAUGCCGACUAGGGAUCGGGCGGUGUUAUCGAUUUGACCCGCUCGGCACCUUGCGAGAAAU
Molecule: ribosomal RNA, 1014 nt
Filed under: Digitodesmium sp. BWF-2021a
Lineage: Eukaryota; Fungi; Ascomycota; Dothideomycetes; Pleosporales
Description: SSU rRNA
Rfam family: Eukaryotic small subunit ribosomal RNA
Source: RNAcentral